This is a long non-coding RNA of Xiphophorus hellerii (green swordtail), 1594 nucleotides long. RefSeq lists it as uncharacterized. The record is from RefSeq and is a predicted model, not a curated record. Lineage: Eukaryota; Metazoa; Chordata; Actinopteri; Cyprinodontiformes; Poeciliidae. The transcript has 2 exons.
CAGCAGACCGACCUCUGGAUGUCUUCAGGGUAGGUGGCGCUAAACAUUAGAGUCUGACGAUUCUCCUUGGACGGCAUUCCAGGGGAGCCAACCAGGCGCCGCAUGUCUGGCUCAAAGCCCAUGUCCAACAUCCGGUCGGCCUCGUCCAGCACCAGCAGACGUCCAGGAGUUCCACACACCACGUUACAUCCUUUCAGGAUUUCCCUGAUCUGGUGUCCAGUGCUGACUCCUCCAUAGACCACAACAGGUCGGACACACGUCCUGAAACACCAGGAGGAAGAGUUCAGCUCCUGCCUGGUCCUCCAGGUUUCUAACCCUCACACCUACCCAUAAGCAAACUUCCUAGCCUCCAGGUAGAUCUGGUUGAUGAGUUCUCUGGUUGGAGCGACUAUGACGGCUUCGGGUUCUUGUGUCUCACUGAAGCGACUGGCCGCCACGCCGUCCGUCAUGAGCUGCUGCAGGAUGGGCAGCAGGAAAGCAGCCUACAGGACAGGAAGGAACGCUUAGUUUAAGAUUUUACACACUGGUUGGAUCGUAUCCAAAAGUACAACAUUUUUAUUAUUCAACAGAAUUCCUAUCUUUAAGAUCUCACCGUCUUCCCAGAGCCGGUCUGUGCACAGGCCAUGAGGUCUCUGCCUGCAGAGAUGAUGGGGAUGCCAUGCUUCUGCACCGGGGUCGGCUUCACGUAGCCAGACUUGCUGAUGUUUUUCCUCAGGGACUCACACAGGGCCGCCUCGUCAAAGGUCUGAGGGACGGAUGGAGUCAGUGUGGCUGCAGUCCUCCAUCAGACACACAGCUGAGGGACUCACCAUGAUGGCCCUGGGGGGGUUGGUGCCGCUGAUGUCCACCAAGAUGUCGUCGUACUUGUCAAAGUUGAUUCCACUCUUAUAAUGGGAGAAGAUGGAGUCUUCGUCUUCAGGGAGCGUUGGAGGAACGUAUGUGACUCUCGGUUCUGCGGGUCAGAACAGACACCAGGUUCUAGGCGGCAGAACAUGCUGUGUUUAUCUAAGAGCCCAGACGAUCACUUACUGUCACUAUCAGGGUCGUCCUUAACUGAACCUUUGUCUUCUCCUGCAGCACACAGAACAGCCAUUACAGAUUCACACUCGCACACAUCAGUUCAUUCUCUCGUCCUGUAGCCUCAAACCUGGAUUGAAGGUCUCUUCGUCUUUUCCACGGUAACCUGCAACGACAGACACAGUGAGCUCUUGCUGACAGAAAACUCCUCUCAAGACAAAGGUCUGGGUGGCCAACCUCCACCAAAGCCUCCUCUUCCUCCCUGCUCAGCAUCUUCAACACACAAGCAGUGAUUAGUCAACAGCAACACCUGUGUGUGCAGAAAGCUGUGCAUCCAUUAGUACCUUGUCUGAAUCCUCCUCUUCCUCCCCGACCUCCUCUUCCUCGCCCUCUGAACCCUGCCAAUCAGAACAUUCAGCCAAUCAGGAGCUCUUAGAGCAGCAGAAGGAAAACCUUCAAGGUCAUCCCUACCAUUCUCAUGAGCUCCAUCACCAUCCUCUGCAAAUCAGAGACCAAAAGUCUUAGAGGCUGAUCAACUCCCAGGAAACAAAACCAAAAUAAAGAUUUACAAACAUUA